Small nucleolar RNA from Manihot esculenta (cassava), 87 nucleotides. RefSeq annotates it as small nucleolar RNA snoR116. The transcript has a single exon. NCBI's taxonomy places the organism in Eukaryota, Viridiplantae, Streptophyta, Magnoliopsida, Malpighiales, Euphorbiaceae. The record is from RefSeq and is a predicted model, not a curated record.
GGGCAUUGAUGAGGAAAAUUAUACCAUCAAACUUUGAGAGCUCAAAGCGAGCUUGUUGAUGUAAAUUAGUCAUUAUUCUCUGAGCCC